This 8080-nucleotide unclassified non-coding RNA is filed under the name Lytechinus variegatus (green sea urchin). RNAcentral describes it as "uncharacterized LOC121407938, transcript variant X2". The record is from RNAcentral. Lineage: Eukaryota; Metazoa; Echinodermata; Echinoidea; Temnopleuroida; Toxopneustidae.
GGCUAUCGUAAUGCACAUUAGGUGACCUUUUGACAUGUUUGAAACAUUUCUAGGAAUUAAAGGGCUUGUUAGCUAUUGUGUAUGACUGCAGUGUAGGGCAGGCAGUGCAUGUGUAUGUUAUGGGUUAAUAAGACUGAAUGUCAUAGAUAUUUGCAUUUGACGAGACACAAGACAAAUUAGGCAAGACAUGCAUAUUUUGUGGGCAUUCAGCAGAUAUAAAUUUAUUUUGGAUAAAUACAUCACAUACACAUGCAAGGUCAUUACAGCAGAUGUCAAUUAUAAAAACAAGAUAAAUAAAGAAUUUGUAGACUGAGGCACAGGUGUAAAGUCAGAUUAUUAUGCAGGGACUGACAAAUAUUCAUUUCUAAUGAGUGGGUUUAUAUACGAGUUAGAUUAUUCAGAAAUACAAAGUUUACAUAUUUAUGGCGACACGUUUAUUUCAUGACAGUUUGUUAACUGACAACUGAUACAUUGUAUAUCUUUUUCUGUGUCAUUGAAUUACAGAUUGAACAGUUCAAGUUCAAGUUCAAGUGAGAGAUUGUAACUGCAAUGGUCAUUAAAGUCUUUAAGAAACGUCGAACUCGUGUGAUAAUAUUGGUACUCAUCUUGUUGUCACUAAUUCGUCACUCCAGAGUUGUUAGAACAUUUCCAAAAUUUGAGUUAGUCAUCUUGUCACAAACGCCAACCUCCACAUUAGUUCAAUAACAAGCUAUGAACUUUUGGAUCAAAGAUGAGUGACAUUCCAAAGACAGCUGGGGCUGCGGCACCCGAUGUCAGACCUGAAGAUUCUGCAAGCAACUGUGGUCGAAGUAUUACAAGCUCUGUGACCAGCAGCAGGGCAAGGAGAGAUGCAGCUGCGAAAAAGGCUGCUCUGAUGGCUCAAGCUCAAUUGUUGCAGGAGCAACAGGCAUUGGAACUACAGACUUUGCAAUUACAGCAACGGAUGGCUGAGCUGAAGCUGAAAUCGCAGAUUGCUAGUGCUGAAGCAGAGGAGAAGGUGUAUAGAGCAUCUGAGGACAAAUCAGGAUUACCAGAUAAUCUUCCUUCAGGCAUUCAGUCAGCUAAUGAUGAUACCCUGCCAUAUCCUCGUCCUGACACAUCAGAGUCGAUGAUGAAGAUUAUUCAUGAAGGUCAGCAGCAACAGAGAAGGCUGAUAGAAUCUGUCACACUACCUCAAGCUGAUUUGAUGAAAUACGAUGGCAACCCCUUGAGGUAUUGGGAAUUUUGGAGAGCCUUUGAAAACAGUGUGGACAAGACUGCAGUAGAUGAUUCUGCUAAGCUGACACGCCUGUUUCAUUUCUGCACUGGUGAGGCUCAUAAGUUGUUACAAGCCUGCAUGGUAAUGGAUCCCACUGUUGGUUAUAAGAAAGCCAAGCAGAUGUUGAAAGAACGAUUUGGCAACCCUUACAAGAUAGCAGAUGCUUGGAUUCAAAGAGUUACUCAAGCUACAAAGAUUGAGCCCAACAAUAAGAAGGCUCUGCAAGAUCUAGCAGAUGAACUUCAUAUUUGCAUUCAAACGCUAGAUGCUAUGGGCUAUAAGUCUGAGCUGUCACCCCAGAAUGUCAUCUUACGGAUUGUCGAGAGACUUCCUUUCUUCUUGAGGGACCGAUGGUUAAAGGUGGUAGCCAAUAUCAGGAAGCAGAACCGGCUGCCACAGAUUGAGGACCUUUUAUCUUUCAUCCAGGAAACCUCAGCCCAACAGAAUGAUCCAGUAUAUGGACGACUGACUGAUCUGAAGCCUGGAUCCAAAGAUCAGUCAAAAUCGUAUCCCAAGAAAACAUGGGACAAGAAGGUAUCUAAGACACAGGGGAGAAGCUCAUACUCUACCUCUAGUAGCCCAGUUCCUGUGAACGUCAAGCCCUGUCUGAUCUGUCAAGAAAAACAUACACUUUUUGGCUGUGAUCGAUUCAAGAAAAUGCCACCAGAAAAGAGACUCCAGUUUGCUAAAGAGAAGCGGUUAUGUUUUAACUGCCUUCGUCCUGGUCAUAUGUUGUCAGCCUGCAACUUGAAUAGAACUUGUUCUGUUGAAGGUUGUGGAAGGAAGCAUACCAAGUUCCUUCAUCAGACGAAGAAGGCACCAUCAAGAGCACCUGACAAUCAAGUCGAAGAUCCCCCACAGAAUCAGGAAGGACAAUUAACAAGUGAUGGGGCCUCUAAUGGUUAUGUAGACAGUGAUGCUACAGGGGCCGGCAAGCGGAGUGUUCUUCCAAUUGUUCCAGUAAGAGUGCAAAGUGAUGGCAAGAAUUUUAUUCAGACGUAUGCUCUGUUGGAUACUGGAUCAACCCAUUCAUUCUGUACAGAGGCAUUAGCUCAUCAUCUGGGAGCUAGAGGAAGAAGUCAUCAACUUCGCCUGACAACUAUGGUUAAGAGAGAUGAUCACAUUGACACAUCAGUGGUCAGCCUUGUGGUAGACUCUGGGCCAUCCACAGACCGGAUUUAUCUUCCUCAUGUCUGUACUCGGAAGAGAUUGAACAUUCAGAAUUCUCACAUGGCCUGUAGAGAAGACAUCAUCAACUUGCCAUAUCUCAAAGGUAUUGAUAUCCCAUUGGCAGGGGAACAUGAAGUUGGCUUACUGAUUGGUCAAGAUACUCCAAGAGCACUGAUACCCUUAGAAGUACGCAAAGGAGACAAGGGACCUUAUGCUGUUAGAACUGCUCUAGGGUGGUCACUUCAUGGUCCGAUCGCUUCAAGAGGGAGAUGUGAUGCCUCUACCAAUUUCAUUCAAGGAGACACCUCUCUUGAUGAACAAGUCCAGAAGUUCUGGAAACUGGAGGAUGAGAAUUCCCUAUUCGAUGAUGAGAGAGGUAUGUCAUUUAAUGACAGGAAAGCAGUCAACAUCUGGGAGGACACCAUCACUUUGGACAAUGGUCACUACCAACUAGCCAUACCUUUCAAGGAACGCCCCCCUAGUCUUCAAGAUAACCGUUGUAUAGCGGAGCAUCGACUUCAGACUCUUGGAAGAAGGCUAGAAAGAGACACCCAUCUUCAUGAAAAAUACAAGGAAGGCAUAUCCGACCUCCUUCAGAAAGGAUAUGCAGAAGAAGUAUCUGAAUCAGACGACCAAGAUCAAGCUGUUACCUGGUACAUUCCUCAUCAUCCGGUAUUCCACCCUAUGAAACCAGGAAAGGUUCGCAUAGUGUUUGACUGUGCUUCUAAGUAUAAAGGACAAUCGCUAAAUGAUGUUGUACUCCAGGGUCCUGAUCUCACCAACAAAUUGAUCGGGGUUCUCCUACGUUUUCGUCAAGAGAGAAUUGCCAUUAUCGCCGAUAUAGAGGCAAUGUUUCACCAGGUCAGAGUUCCCCCGGAAGAUCGAGAUGUACUCAGAUUUUUAUGGUGGCCUGGUGGAAACCUGGAAGAGACCCCCAAGGCAUUUAGGAUGUGUGUCCAUCUGUUCGGCGGCACAUGGAGCCCCAGUUGCUGUAACUUCGCUAUGCGACGUACAGCUGAAGAUAAUCAUGGACAGUGUACUAGUGAUGCAGCCAAGGUGGUGCAAAGGAAUUUCUAUGUUGACGACUGCCUGGUGUCACUACAGGAUGAGGAAAAGGCUGUCAAACUUGCUACAGAACUCAGAAUGCUACUUCAGAAGGGAGGAUUUCGACUGGCUAAGUGGCUAAGUAACAACCCAAGAGUCCUUCAGACUAUCCCUUUGGAAGAUCGGGCAAAACAAGUAGCAGGACUCGAUCUUAAUCAUGAAGCCCUACCUGUUGAACGUGCUCUGGGUAUGAGAUGGGACAUAGAGCAGGACUGCUUUACCUACAAGAUCAACCCAAAGGACAAGCCUUCAACUCGACGAGGAUUACUCAGUGUAGUAUCUUCAGUCUAUGAUCCCCUAGGAUAUGCCAGUCCAUGUGUGCUGCAAGCAAAGAUGAUCUUGCAGGAGCUAACAAGACAGAAGUUAUACUGGGAUGAACCCAUUCCAGUUGAAGAGGCACAGAAAUGGAAGUCUUGGUUGGAUGAACUACCAGAGAUGGAAGAAUUUGAGGUUAACAGAUGUGUAAAGCCUCAUAACUUUGGUAAGGUAACAGAUUACCAACUCCAUAACUUUGCAGAUGCCUCAGAAGUUGCUUAUGGAGCUAUGACAUAUCUAAUGAUGACAAGUGAAGAUGGUCAAGUACAUUGCAGUCUGCUAAUGGCCAAGACACGUCUUGCUCCACUGAAGAAGUCAACCAUACCACGACUUGAGUUAAUGGCUGCUACCCUAGCAACAAGGAUGGACACCAUGAUCAGAAGGGAACUGGACUUUCCUAUCACCAAGUCAACAUUUUGGACAGAUAGCAUGAUAGUUUUGAAUUACAUUCAAAACAAAGAUAAGAGGUUCCAUACCUUUGUAUCCAACAGGCUUGCUAUCAUUCACAAUGCUACAGAGAUGGAUCAAUGGUACCAUAUUGACUCAACCUUGAACCCAGCAGAUAUCCUUUCAAGGGGCAUGCCUGCAAGUCAAUUGAAGGAGAGUUCGAGAUGGCUUAACGGACCAGAAUUUCUUCAACUGCCACAAGAAUUUUGGCCUACGUUUCCAAACGAGAAGCAAGGGAUUGAUGAUGACGACCCUGAAGUAAAGAGGACAAAAGGAAUGCAUAAUUUUGCAUCAAGCUGUGAUCAUGAAGACUGCAUUGACAAACUGAUCACACACUUCUCGGAUUGGACCAGGCUAAGAAGAGCAAUUGCAUGGUGGCUUAGACUGAAGAAAGUUCUCCAAGAGAAAGUGAAAAAGACGACACCAAUCCAAGACAGAGGCAAAACCUUAUCUGCCAAGGAAAUUGAAGGUGCUGAAAAGGUCAUUUUUCAGUAUGUACAGAGUCAUGCAUUCUCAGAGGAGUUGAGUGUCAUUAGGGAUUCAGGUAAUUCAGUCCCUAAAGUCACAAAAGGAUCAAGACUGUACAAACUAGACGCAGUUUACCAAGAUGGCCUGCUUCGAGUAGGAGGACGGUUAAGACAUGCAAUGAUACCUAGUGAAGCCAAACACCAAGUAAUAUUGCCCAAGAAGCAUCACGUGACUUCACUUCUUGUGAGACAUACACAUCACAGAGUUGGACACCAAGGACUGAAUCAUGUGUUGGCAGAGAUACGACAAAGAUAUUGGAUUCUUGGUGCUGGUGUUGUUGUAAGGAGCAUGUUAAAGAAAUGUGUUAACUGCCGCAAGUACCAGGCUAGACUCGGCAAGCAGAAGAUGUCAGAUCUCCCAUCAUUUAGACUUGAAGCUACCAAACCGGCCUUUACUAACGUAGGGAUGGACUAUUUUGGGCCAUUCGACAUUAAGUGUGGACGAUCAACGAGAAAAAGGUAUGGAGUUGUCUUCACCUGUAUGACCAGUAGGGCAAUCCAUAUAGAGGUAGCCGAGAGUCUUGAGACAAGCUCGUGUAUCGAUGCCAUUCGUCGUAUGAUUAGCAGAAGAGGGCCUAUCAAGAAAUUGUUCUCAGACAAUGGCACCAAUUUAGUGGGAGCCCAGGCUGAACUGAAAAGAGCUCUGAAGGAAUGGAAUGAAGACGAAAUCCUGCAUUUCACUGCUAAUCAAGGGAUAGAGUGGACUUUCAACCCUCCCACUGCUUCACAUCAAGGUGGUGUGUGGGAAAGACAAAUUCGCACCAUCAGGAAAAUACUGCAUGCUAUUCUGACUGAGCAGUAUUUAAGGACUUGUCAAUCUGAGGAACAGCUUCAUACACUGAUGUGCGAGGUUGAGGCAAUCAUUAACAGCAGGCCUCUCACACGAGUCUCUGAUGAUCCAGAUGAUCUGGAAGUAUUGACACCAAACAGUCUACUACUGAUGAAACAGGUGACAGCGCCGCCUCCAGGUAGAUUUACCGGGACAGAUGUCUACGCCAGAAAACGAUGGAGACAAAUGCAGCAUCUUUCUGAUCUUUUCUGGAAGAGAUGGCUACGCGAGUAUUUACCAGCCUUACAACAGCGUCAACGAUGGCAACAACCCGAACGCAACCUACAGAUUGGGGAUGUGGUCCUCAUCGCAGACGAGAUGGCGCCUAGGUGCUCCUGGCUUAUGGGUCGCGUUCUUGAGACACAUCCAGACAAACAAGGUUAUGUGCGUAGUGUUAAGGUGAAGACAGCAACGUCUACAUUCAUCAGACCAGUCACCAAGCUGUGUUUGCUUUUGGAGCAGGAGAUUUAGUGCCAAAAUUUAUAAACAGGGUUAUGCACACCCUGAGGUGUGAGCCUAGCGCCGCCUACUAGAGUUAUAAUUCAUUAUUUGAUAUUAGACAACAGAAAGGGUUAUGCACACCCUCAUUGAAAUUACGCGAUUGAGUAAUUAUCAUCUGCUGAUAGAAAUAACUUCAAAUAAGGGUUAUGCAUACCUUCAGUGAAAAAUCUUCAAGAGCAAAUUGAUUCAGAAACUAAAGAUGUGAAACAUAUAGCAUAACUUUGAUAUUUUGGAUGGAUCAACAUCGUGAGCAAGCAAGAGAAAGUACAGACCACAUGUAUCGUUUUACCAAGUCUAUUUUGAAUGACAGGACAUUAAAAUGCAGGACGUUUAAUACGCAUCCCAAAGGCUUGAUAAAGAUGGACUUGAAGGAAUGAAGGAACGAAAAAGAAAUUAAGAACUCACAGACUUUCAAUUUAAUUUGAUAGCUAUUUGAAUUGUGGACAAUUUUGCAUUCAUUUUAUCUUUUUCUUCGUAAGUGAUGCAAGUGCAGAGCUGCCAAGUAGUACUGAUUUUUCAGUAUUUAGUACUUAAAAGUGAGAAAAAUACUGAUAGUUAAAUGUAAAAUGCUGAUUUCUAAAGUUUCAGCUUUAUUUGUUCUUUGGUAUUUUUGAAAAUACUGAUUUCCUCUCUGAAAUACUGAUUUUCAACUUUAAAAAUACUGAAAUGUUCUUUUUUCAGGUUGGCAACUCUUUAAGUGUAUGAUUUUGACCAAUUCAACAAGAAUUUGUCUAUUUUUUCAUAUGCAAAUUUUCAGGUAAAGAAUCUGAUUUGGAAGUAAUAGUGCAGUUGUUGCACAGUUUAAUUAUUUAGACAAACUGUCUGGACAUAAGACUAAGUUUACUAUUUUGGAGCCUGUGGAUAAGGCUACAAUUCAAGGAAACAAAUUUGAACAAAAUUAAAGGGAUAAAUAAAUAAACCCUCUGGUCUGAAAUUUAAGACUAGUCAUGUUUAAAUUUGGUAGAAAGACUACUCAUUGUAGUUGAGUCUAGAGAAAAGACUAUUUGGUUUUGAAUUAAGUGCAAAAAUGCCAUAUGCAAAAGGCUACAGCACUACUUUUCCUUUCAGCCAGAUUCUUGCCAUACGUAAAUAUUCCAAUGUAUGCAAAACCAGGCUAAAUAUUGCAUGUAUUGAUUCAUGUUUUAUCAUGUUUAUUAGUUUUGCAGGAAAAUCACCUGAUUACUUCAUUUAUUUUUAUAAAAAAAAACAAAAACAAAAACAAAAAGUAAAAAACCAAAGGUGUCAAAGGACCAUGUACAUUUAUGAUGAUCGAUUUGACCAAAGAGCUGUACAAAUAUAAUUUGGGGCAGACUUUAAAGUUUGUCAAAAUCAGAAAGUAUUGAGUAGAAUAUAUUUGCCCUAGUUUUUCAAAGGUAUAUUCAUUUUCAAACUUGAAAUUGUUAAAGGGGCCGGAAAAGAUGGUCACUUCAUUUUUUUGAAAACAGCAUAAAGUCAAGAGUACAUUAUUUAGACUUAGUGAACAAAGGUAAUGAUAAUUAGCACUUGACCUUUUCAGAGGUGAUGACAUGAUGCAUUGAAAGGAAGUAUGAAUGUCAUUGUAUUGGAAUUUAAGUUACCAUAGCAACCUAAAAAAUUGUAAGAGAAGCAAAAAUUCAGAACUGAUUUAUUUUUCCUUUGGUUUGUAAAUGAUGAGCCUUAAGCUCCCAUUUAAGGGGCCGGGAUGUAAAUACGAGCUUCUGAAUUUUUGCGAUGACGUCAGAAGCGAGAGUUUUGGAUUCGUUUCACGAACAUGCCGAGUGAGGGCGUACUUGAUUUAUCGAGGAUCUAAAUUUUCUAUGAGAUAGAAUGAAAGUCAUUUUGGGAUUGUUUCUAAAAUUCAUGUUAAUCUGGAGAUGCCAAUGUUAUUGAACAGUUCAAGUUCAAGUUCAAGUGAGAGAUUGUAACUGCAAUGGUCAUUAAAGUCUUUAA